This 345-nucleotide long non-coding RNA is filed under the name Junco hyemalis (dark-eyed junco). RNAcentral's name for it is "lncRNA (ENSJHYG00000007839.1)". Lineage: Eukaryota; Metazoa; Chordata; Aves; Passeriformes; Passerellidae. The record is from RNAcentral.
CUCUGCCAUGCCAAUUAGGAUCAGUUCUGAUUUUUCUUCCUGAGGAGAACACGAGCAUUUGGGACAGAAACCAAGCAGCCUGCCUGACUUCACUGAACAGCCAGGUCCCAAACAGCUGAUGCUGCAUUAUCAGCAAGGACCACAGCUGAUUACUGGCUCAUUAGUUAUCUCUCCUCUGGCCAUUUAGAGCAAAAUGAACAGAAAAUGCUCAUGGUCUCUGAAGAGUUGCUCCUUCCCAAAUUCAAGGCUCGCCUCCAUUUGCUGUCUUCCAACACCUGGGCCAUUACUGGAGCUCAUUAGAAUAUGAAAACCCAAAAUACCAUGACUGAGCCUUGACUUCUUUGC